GAUGAACGCUAGCUACAGGCUUAACACAUGCAAGUCGAGGGGCAGCGGGAUUGAAGCUUGCUUCAAUUGCCGGCGACCGGCGCACGGGUGAGUAACGCGUAUCCAACCUUCCGCUUACUCGGGGAUAGCCUUUCGAAAGAAAGAUUAAUACCUGAUGGUAUCUUAAGCACACAUGUAAUUAAGAUUAAAGAUUUAUCGGUGUACGAUGGGGAUGCGUUCCAUUAGGUAGUAGGCGGGGUAACGGCCCACCUAGCCAACGAUGGAUAGGGGUUCUGAGAGGAAGGUCCCCCACAUUGGAACUGAGACACGGUCCAA
This 315-nucleotide ribosomal RNA is filed under the name uncultured bacterium. Its description in RNAcentral is "bacterial SSU rRNA". It matches the Rfam family "Bacterial small subunit ribosomal RNA", at positions 28 to 334 of the family's 1533-position model. The record is from RNAcentral.